UGUUUGCUGUGAUGAAUAACAAGGACGGUAUCUGAGUAAGUGUGGCUCUUGAAAAAGGCCUCCUACAUUGAUUACACAUCCUAAACUGGUCAUAUAUUCUGAGCAAAUG
This 109-nucleotide small nucleolar RNA is filed under the name Hordeum vulgare subsp. vulgare (domesticated barley). Its description in RNAcentral is "Small nucleolar RNA Z118/Z121/Z120". It matches the Rfam family "Small nucleolar RNA Z118/Z121/Z120". Rfam says of the family: This family consists of several snoRNA Z118, Z121 and Z120 sequences which are members of the C/D class of snoRNA which contain the C (UGAUGA) and D (CUGA) box motifs. This family seems to be found exclusively in rice. The record is from Rfam by way of RNAcentral. Lineage: Eukaryota; Viridiplantae; Streptophyta; Magnoliopsida; Poales; Poaceae.